GAUGAACGCUGGCGGCGUGCUAAUACAUGCAAGUCGAACGGGCUGCCAUAAGGCAGCCAGUGGCGAACGGGUGAGGAGCACAUGGGGAACCUGCCCGUCAGAGGGGGACAACAGCUGGAAACGGCUGCUAAGACCGCAUAGGCUCAAGGAGGGCAUCCUCGUUGAGUUAAAGUGUCCUUUCGGGGACAGCUGACGGAUGGACCUGUGGCGCAUUAGCCAGUUGGCGGGGUAAAGGCCCACCAAGGAGACGAUGCGUAGCCGGCCUGAGAGGGCGGACGGCCACACUGGGACUGAGACACGGCCCAGACUCCUGCGGGAGGCAGCAGUAGGGAAUUUUCGGCAAUGGGGGGAACCCUGACCGAGCAACGCCGCGUGAGUGAGGAAGGCUUCGGGCUGUAAAGCUCUGUUGCAGAGGAAGAACGGGAGAGCGAGGAAAUGCGCUUUUCGUGACGGUAUCUGCGAGAGGGCCACGGUAA
RNAcentral lists this ribosomal RNA (476 nucleotides) under Eggerthia catenaformis. RNAcentral describes it as "bacterial SSU rRNA". It matches the Rfam family "Bacterial small subunit ribosomal RNA", at positions 28 to 499 of the family's 1533-position model. Lineage: Bacteria; Bacillati; Bacillota; Erysipelotrichia; Erysipelotrichales; Coprobacillaceae. The record is from RNAcentral.